GGCAGCUGAGCGUGUUCUUGCCAUUUUCCCAUUUAACAAGAAGAAAAGGCCAAACAAGGAGCAAUUAGUCAGAAUAAAAUCAGCUUUGAUGACAUUUUCCCUCCUGAACUCUGGUAUAAAAUGGUCACCUGAGGAAGAACUGAAAGGAUAUGUGAGGAAUUUGGAUGUGGAGCUGCAUGGUCACGCACACAGCGCUGGGCAGAAAAUGAGCAGUCUAUGCAGGUUGAACUUGGUUUUCGUCCUGUGGGUCUCCAUGACAUUGGUGUGCUCGGGUUUCCCAGUCGGCCCUUCCAUGAGCACCAACCCGUUGUACCUGAGCUGCCAGCUGUCCGGGAGAUGGGAUUCGUGCCUGGUGCUGCUGAGCAGCUGCCUGUCCAGGCUGGGCAGGGGGGAGCAGCUGCCCCCUCUCCACAAAAGGUCCUUCCGCAACGGCGUCGGAGCGGGAAUUAAAAAAACUUCCUUCCGAAGGGCAAAGUCCUGAGCAAGUGUCCCAAAGCCCGGCCCUGGUUUUGACAUCUGAUUGUCCCAGUCGUUGCUUUGAGUUCCUUUUGGUGUUUUUCUCUGGCCAAGCCACCUCUGACAGGGUCCCCCAGGGUUCCCAGGAGCGCCCGGGAAGGGCUUUGCUCCCAAAGUCACACUGCCACCAAGUUUUGUCUCGAAAUGAGUGCUCUCAUUUGCUUCAUUUCCCUCUCUUGUCAGGCUACAUACAGGUUUUAAUUCUGCUCUUUGAUUCACACAAAGAUAAUCCCGUGCUUUGAGGAGAUGCGUGCGCGCAGCCUGCGGGGAGGACGGAGGAUUCCCAAAAUCCCUCCUCUCCGCCAGGCACAGGCAUUCCUGUGCUUUCCCAUCCCAAAUCACAUUGACUUGAAGGCAACUGGUAAUUUAAACACAGAUUUAAAGUACACUUCAUUUCAGGUUUCCGAUGAUAUGAAGGGCCGCUGGUGAAACAAUCAGGCCCUACUUGUACCUUCCCCUGGAAUUUUAAUAUAGUUAUUUAAAAUGACUUUGGCAGGGAACAGUCUCUGGAGAUGUCUCAUCUCAUAUCCAGAAGAAUCUUGGGAAAUCAUUCUAAGGCAGGGUAUCAGCACCAUUCCCUAUGCCUCAAUUAAUUGACUUAGGUAGGCAACAUCCAGCUGAUGAAAUGUGCCAAAUCUGGGAUUUUUUUUUAAUUUCCUGUUGGAAAAAAAAAAUAAAACAAGGAAAAAGUCAUUUGAUGUGAAAUAU
RNAcentral lists this long non-coding RNA (1224 nucleotides) under Zonotrichia albicollis (white-throated sparrow). RNAcentral's name for it is "lncRNA (ENSZALG00000013062.1)". Lineage: Eukaryota; Metazoa; Chordata; Aves; Passeriformes; Passerellidae. The record is from RNAcentral.